Molecule: ribosomal RNA, 468 nt
Filed under: uncultured bacterium
Lineage: Bacteria
Description: partial 16S ribosomal RNA
Rfam family: Bacterial small subunit ribosomal RNA
Source: RNAcentral
GACGAACGCUGGCGGCGUGCUUAACACAUGCAAGUCGAACGGAAAGGCCCUGCUUUUGUGGGGUGCUCGAGUGGCGAACGGGUGAGUAACACGUGAGUAACCUGCCCUUGACUUUGGGAUAACUUCAGGAAACUGGGGCUAAUACCGGAUAGGAGCUCCUGCUGCAUGGUGGGGGUUGGAAAGUUUCGGCGGUUGGGGAUGGACUAGCGGCUUAUCAGCUUGUUGGUGGGGUAGUGGCUUACCAAGGCUUUGACGGGUAGCCGGCCUGAGAGGGUGACCGGCGACAAGGGGACUGAGAGACGGCCCAGACGCCUACGGGAGGCAGCGGUGGGGAGUAUUGCACAAUGGGCGGGAGCCUGAUGCAGCGACGCCGGGUGCGGGAUGACGGCCUUCGGGUUAUAAACCGCUGUCGCCUGAGACGAGGCGGGAGUGACGGUAAUGGGUAAAGAAGCACCGGCUAACUACGUG